This 433-nucleotide ribosomal RNA is filed under the name uncultured bacterium. Its description in RNAcentral is "partial 16S ribosomal RNA". It matches the Rfam family "Bacterial small subunit ribosomal RNA", at positions 29 to 507 of the family's 1533-position model. The record is from RNAcentral.
AGCGAACGCUGGCGGCAGGCCUAACACAUGCAAGUCGAACGAACCCUUCGGGGUUAGUGGCGGACGGGUGAGUAACGCGUGGGAACGUGCCUUUUGGUUCGGAAUAACUCAGGGAAACUUGUGCUAAUACCGGAUGUGCCCUUCGGGGGAAAGAUUUAUCGCCCGUGGAUGGGCCCGCGUCGGAUUAGCUAGUUGGUGAGGUAACGGCUCACCAAGGCGACGAUCAUUAGCUGGUCUGAGAGGAUGACCAGCCACACUGGGACUGAGACACGGCCCAGACUCCUACGGGAGGCAGCAGUGGGGAAUCUUGCGCAAUGGGCGAAAGCCUGACGCAGCCAUGCCGCGUGAAUGAUGAAGGUCUUAGGAUUGUAAAAUUCUUUCACCGGGGACGAUAAUGACGGUACCCGGAGAAGAAGCCCCGGCUAACUUCGUG